ACGCGCAGGCGGUGAUUUAAGCAGGAUGUGAAAGGCUACGGCUCAACCGUAGACAUGCACCCUGAACUGGGUCACUUGAGUAUUGGAGAGGCAGGCAGAAUCCCUGGUGUAGCGGUGAAAUGCGUAGAUAUCAGGAGGAAUACCGGAGGCGAAGGCGGCCUGCUGGACAAAUACUGACGCUGAGGCGCGAAGCUGGGAGCAAACA
Molecule: ribosomal RNA, 205 nt
Filed under: uncultured bacterium
Lineage: Bacteria
Description: partial 16S ribosomal RNA
Rfam family: Bacterial small subunit ribosomal RNA
Source: RNAcentral